UGGUGGAAAAAAAAAAACUAAACUUGCGAAAAAAAACUGUAAAACCUAAAACUUACUUUUGCCGUCUCUUUUCUCCGUCCCUAAUCCUAUUUUCUUCACCUCUUAGUUCAUCGCAUGCAUGUGUUUUGAUCUAAGGGAGAGUUUUGUACGUUUUUAUUUUUCAUGGGAGAUUUUUGCUAUUCGUAAAUCAUUACCUUUCUUUUCUGUCUCUUUGUUUCUCUGUAUCAAUAAACCCUAACCCUUCCGCCUCCAGUUUACCCACCCCUUCUCUGAUUGUUUGACUAGAUAUUUUUCUGAACCGUGUUCGUUUUUUUAUGUUGCGGGCAUCUUCAUCCUGGGUCAUUGAGAAAAAUUCCCCCUCUUGGUCGGAUAUAGUAUGACCCAAUUUUCUUUUUUAGGUUAUUAUACAUUUUUAAAUCCGAUUAGGGUUUACCCUAAGCCUGAUAUUGAUUGAUCCAAAUUGCAGUAUCAUGCAAAAGGAUUUUAAGGGUUUCUUUUUUUAUUUUUAAAGUUUUCUAUUUUGAUACUAGAAAACUGUUUGAUUAAUUUGGAUGUAAUUUUCAGAUUCAGUACUGGUGAUAACAACUCGCAGAGCUGGGAAAUGGAAGAAAGGUAAAAUUCCUAAUUCUUCAUUAAUCUACUUCUUUUGUCAGGUUGAUUUUAAGGGUACUGCAGAUCCACAAAAAAUAUCAGAUGUUUUAUGGAUUUGAACUUCAAAAUGUUUUUCUAAUGGUGUUGUUGAUAAGAAGGAGAAAAAGGAAAAAGAUUGUAUCUUUUGUACCAUUAUUCGUGCAAAAUCCCAAGCAAGGUGAUUGGAUCAUUUUUUUUCUUUAUUUAAGCAUGUAUAUAUGCUUAUUAAAAUCCCAUGAACUCCAGAAACCAUGUAUGCUUAUUAAAAUUUAUUUCACACUCUCUUGCACGGUGUGUAUAUAUAUAUAUGAAGUAGAGGUUGCAGAAACCAUGUAUGCUUAUUAGAAUACCGGAGUGACAUAUUAAGUUCUUACAAAUGCAUGUUUUUAUUUUUCAACGAGCAUAUAAAGAGUUCUCUGUUUCCGUAGUUACGUUUGUAUUUGGAAACAAAAUCUACAAAUUUAGGCUAUUGAUUCAAGUGUUUAUCUAUUAUAGAGUAAUUUUAAAGAGAAUGCGAAAGGAACAUAAAGGUUUUGCACUGUCGCAAUAUGCAAGAAAAUUAUCAGGAACGGUUAGGUGAUUGCAAUCCCGUUAUUAUUUUUUAUUUUUUAUGACUAAGUAACAAUAUGGCCACUGUUACUUAGUCAUCUUUAAGGAUCUCAUCAAAAAACAAUUGGAAGCUAAUGCAUCCUUGAAAGCCGAAGUGCUAGCUCUUCUGAGGUGGGAAUAGAUCAUGCAUACCUUUUCCUUUAAUGUACUAGGACUUGGCUCAAUGAUACUGCCACUGAAAUGGACUAUGCAAAGUACAUUGCAUAUGAAUGUGAAAUGUAUGUCCACAGUGCAAAAAUUUCCACUACUAACCAACACUAAACUCGCUCUAUAUGUGAACUGAUACUCACUUUUGUUAUUACUCUUUUUGUUUUUGUUUGAUUGUUAAAAUUUAACAUUCUAAUGUGAUUUUGUGUUAAAUGACUAUAGCGGUACCGCCACUGCAAAAAUUAAGUAUAACUGCUACUGGAUGCAACUUAUGAUGCAGCCACUGCAAAAGUUAAGUAUAACUGCUACUGGAUGCAACUUAUGAAUGCUGGCAGUAGCUACAAGCCAGCCUAGCUCUACCAUCCGCCAAUUUUAAUGGCACAAAUUCAAUUUUCUGAAAGCCAUCGAGAAGUCAUGCUUUGGUCACUGUCAGAAUGACACAGGAAAUGUAGUUUUCUGACAAUGCUCAUGUCAUCCAAAACAAGGUAAGUUUACUCAUCAUAGUAACGAAAAUUUAUAGUACGUUGAAUUCUACUGAUACACUUCUCAUAUAACCAAUGUGGAUCUCAUACGUUCCCUUUUCUACUGUUUAACCUUGCAUAUUUGUUGCUAUAUCCACGGUAUUGCUCUAUUUAACCCAUGUAAUCCAUACGAGACUCCAACAGCCUCCAAUUCGGUGCUCAAAAUCCAUCAGCUGAUGUCGUACCAGGAACUCUAAGAGCGGUAGAUGAAUAAAAUAAAAAUUAAAGGCAGGUAAUUUCUGAAACCACCCUACUGCUCUAUGUAUCGUGUACAUCUCUAACAUAGUAAUUUGAUAAUAUCUGACAAACAAGUAUGGAAUGAGGUCAUUCCGAGUUCGAAUGAAGAAGUUAUGGCCAAAAUAGUUUUAUCAAAUGCCGAAGAAAGUGAAGUCCGCGAACUGGGCUUGCGGACUGGGUUAGCAGACCUAAUUCCAAAAAAAAUUGCUGGAUUUUGAAGUUUGCGGACUGGGUUCGCGAACUUAGAAAAUGGGAAACGUGUAUUUAAUCCUUGGAAGACCUAAGGGCACGUUUGGGAUCAUUAUUUCAUGUU
Long non-coding RNA from Papaver somniferum (opium poppy), 2457 nucleotides. RefSeq lists it as uncharacterized. Lineage: Eukaryota; Viridiplantae; Streptophyta; Magnoliopsida; Ranunculales; Papaveraceae. The transcript is spliced from 3 exons. The record is from RefSeq and is a predicted model, not a curated record.